RNAcentral lists this ribosomal RNA (902 nucleotides) under Gnomoniopsis smithogilvyi. RNAcentral's name for it is "eukaryotic LSU rRNA". It matches the Rfam family "Eukaryotic large subunit ribosomal RNA", at positions 34 to 967 of the family's 3401-position model. Lineage: Eukaryota; Fungi; Ascomycota; Sordariomycetes; Diaporthales; Gnomoniaceae. The record is from RNAcentral.
UUAAGCAUAUCAAUAAGCGGAGGAAAAGAAACCAACAGGGAUUGCCCUAGUAACGGCGAGUGAAGCGGCAACAGCUCAAAUUUGAAAUCUGGCUUCGGCCCGAGUUGUAAUUUGCAGAGGAUGUUUAUGGUGCGGUACCUUCCGAGUUCCCUGGAACGGGACGCCACAGAGGGUGAGAGCCCCGUCUGGUUGGAUACCAAACCUGUGUUAAACUCCUUCAACGAGUCGAGUAGUUUGGGAAUGCUGCUCUAAAUGGGAGGUAAAUCUCUUCUAAAGCUAAAUACCGGCCAGAGACCGAUAGCGCACAAGUAGAGUGAUCGAAAGAUGAAAAGCACCUUGAAAAGGGGGUUAAACAGUACGUGAAAUUGUUAAAAGGGAAGCGUUUAUGACCAGACUUGUGUCGUGUGGCUCAUCCGAGGUUCUCCCCGGUGCACUCCACACGGCUCAGGCCAACAUCGGUUCUCGUUGGGGGAUAAGAACAGUAGGAACGUGGCCCUCUUCGGAGGGUGUUAUAGCCUGCUGUACGAUACCCUGAUGGGGACCGAGGACCGCGCUUCGGCUAGGAUGUUGGCGUAAUGGUCAUUAGCGACCCGUCUUGAAACACGGACCAAGGAGUCGUCCAUUAGAGCGAGCGUUUGGGUGUAAAACCCGCACGCGUAAUGAAAGUGAAAUUAGGUGAGAGCUUCGGCGCAUCAUCGACCGAUCCUGAAGUUUACGGAUGGAUUUGAGUAAGAGUUUUAACGGACGGACCCGAAAGACAGUGAACUAUGCUUGAAUAGGGUGAAGCCAGAGGAAACUCUGGUGGAGGCUCGCAGCGGUUCUGACGUGCAAAUCGAUCGUCAAAUUUGAGCAUGGGGGCGAAAGACUAAUCGAACUGUCUAGUAGCUGGUUACCGCCGAAGU